UACGUAGGGGGCAAGCGUUGUUCGGAAUUACUGGGCGUAAAGGGCGCGUAGGCGGCCUUCUAAGUCAGACGUGAAAUCCCCCGGCUUAACCUGGGAACUGCGUCUGAUACUGGGAGGCUUGAGUAUGGGAGAGGGAUGUAGAAUUCCAGGUGUAGCGGUGAAAUGCGUAGAUAUCUGGAGGAAUACCGGUGGCGAAGGCGGCAUCCUGGACCAUAACUGACGCUGAGGCGCGAAAGCUAGGGGAGCAAACGGG
Molecule: ribosomal RNA, 253 nt
Filed under: uncultured bacterium
Lineage: Bacteria
Description: partial 16S ribosomal RNA
Rfam family: Bacterial small subunit ribosomal RNA
Source: RNAcentral